ACGGAGGGUGCGAGCGUUGUCCGGAUUUACUGGGCGUAAAGAGCGCGCAGGCGGUCGUUCAAGUCGAGUGUGAAAGCCCCCGGCUCAACUGGGGAGGGUCACUCGAUACUGAUCGACUCGAAGGCAGGAGAGGGAAGCGGAAUUCCCGGUGUAGUGGUGAAAUGCGUAGAUAUCGGGAGGAACACCAGUGGCGAAGGCGGCUUUCUGGCCUGCUCUUGACGCUGAGGCGCGAAAGCUAGGGGAGCGAACGGGA
This 253-nucleotide ribosomal RNA is filed under the name uncultured prokaryote. RNAcentral's name for it is "partial 16S ribosomal RNA". It matches the Rfam family "Bacterial small subunit ribosomal RNA", at positions 525 to 777 of the family's 1533-position model. The record is from RNAcentral.